GUUCUUGUAGUUGAAUUACAACGAUGGUUCUUCAAAUCAUUGGUCUUAGUUAGAAUCUGAGCAAGAAUU
RNAcentral lists this transfer RNA (69 nucleotides) under Chagunius chagunio. RNAcentral's name for it is "tRNA-Glu". It matches the Rfam family "tRNA". Rfam says of the family: Transfer RNA (tRNA) molecules are approximately 80 nucleotides in length. The record is from RNAcentral. Lineage: Eukaryota; Metazoa; Chordata; Actinopteri; Cypriniformes; Cyprinidae.